GACGAACGCUGGCGGCGUGCUUAACACAUGCAAGUCGAACGGAAAGGCCCUGCUUUUGUGGGGUGCUCGAGUGGCGAACGGGUGAGUAACACGUGAGUAACCUGCCCUUGACUUUGGGAUAACUUCAGGAAACUGGGGCUAAUACCGGAUAGGAGCUCCUGCUGCAUGGUGGGGGUUGGAAAGUUUCGGCGGUUGGGGAUGGACUCGCGGCUUAUCAGCUUGUUGGUGGGGUAGUGGCUUACCAAGGCUUUGACGGGUAGCCGGCCUGAGAGGGUGACCGGCCACCUUGGGACUGAGAUACGGCCCAGACUCCUACGGGAGGCAGCAGUGGGGAAUAUUGCACCAUGGGCGGAAGCCUGGUGCAGCAACGCCGCGUGCGGGAUGACGGCCUUCGGGUUGUAAACCGCUUUCGCCUGUGACGAAGCGUGAGUGACGGUAAUGGGUAAAGAAGCACCGGCUAACUACGUG
Molecule: ribosomal RNA, 468 nt
Filed under: uncultured bacterium
Lineage: Bacteria
Description: partial 16S ribosomal RNA
Rfam family: Bacterial small subunit ribosomal RNA
Source: RNAcentral